CCUACGGGUGGCAGCAGUAGGGAAUAUUGCUCAAUGGGCGAAACUCUGAAGCAGCAACGCCGCGUGGAGGAUGAAGGUUUUCGGAUUGUAAACUUCUUUUGUUAGAGAAGAAAAUGACGGUAUGUAACGAUUAUGCACUGGACAACUCCGUGCCAGCAGCCGCGGUUAUACGGCGGGUGCAGGCGUUACCCGGAAUGAAUGGGCGUAAAGUGGGCGUAGGUGGUAUAGCAAGUCAGAUGGUCAAUCCUUUGGCUAAACCAUAGAAUUGCAUUUGAAACUGUUAGUCUUGAGUAUCGGAGAGGUAGGUGGAAGUCUUGGUGUAGCGGUAAAAUGCGUAGAGAUCAAGAAGAAUACUCAUUGCGAAGGCGACCUGCUAGAACAUAACUGACGCUGAUGCGCGAAAGCGUGGGGAGCAAACAGGAUUAGAUACCCGGGUAGUC
This 440-nucleotide ribosomal RNA is filed under the name uncultured bacterium. RNAcentral describes it as "partial 16S ribosomal RNA". It matches the Rfam family "Bacterial small subunit ribosomal RNA", at positions 338 to 795 of the family's 1533-position model. The record is from RNAcentral.